Molecule: transfer RNA, 73 nt
Filed under: Ixodes scapularis (black-legged tick)
Lineage: Eukaryota; Metazoa; Arthropoda; Arachnida; Ixodida; Ixodidae
Rfam family: tRNA
About the family: Transfer RNA (tRNA) molecules are approximately 80 nucleotides in length. Their secondary structure includes four short double-helical elements and three loops (D, anti-codon, and T loops). Further hydrogen bonds mediate the characteristic L-shaped molecular structure. tRNAs have two regions of fundamental functional importance: the anti-codon, which is responsible for specific mRNA codon recognition, and the 3' end, to which the tRNAs corresponding amino acid is attached (by aminoacyl-tRNA synthetases). tRNAs cope with the degeneracy of the genetic code in two manners: having more than one tRNA (with a specific anti-codon) for a particular amino acid; and 'wobble' base-pairing, i.e. permitting non-standard base-pairing at the 3rd anti-codon position.
Source: Rfam by way of RNAcentral
CCCUGGUUAGCUCAGUCGGUAGAGCGCUCCACUGGAAAUGGAGAGGUCCCGGGUUCGAUACCCGCGCCAAGCG